UAUCUUGCCCUGAGAUCAAGCAAGGCUACCCGCCGAAUUUAAGCAUAUAACUAAGCGGUAGGAAAAGUAA
RNAcentral lists this ribosomal RNA (70 nucleotides) under uncultured Picomonas. RNAcentral describes it as "partial 28S ribosomal RNA". Lineage: Eukaryota; Picozoa. The record is from RNAcentral.